This 434-nucleotide ribosomal RNA is filed under the name uncultured Lachnospiraceae bacterium. RNAcentral describes it as "partial 16S ribosomal RNA". It matches the Rfam family "Bacterial small subunit ribosomal RNA", at positions 341 to 792 of the family's 1533-position model. Lineage: Bacteria; Bacillati; Bacillota; Clostridia; Lachnospirales; Lachnospiraceae. The record is from RNAcentral.
ACGGGAGGCAGCAGUGGGGAAUAUUGCACAAUGGGGGAAACCCUGAUGCAGCGACGCCGCGUGAGUGAAGAAGUAUUUCGGUAUGUAAAGCUCUAUCAGCAGGGAAGAAAAUGACGGUACCUGACUAAGAAGCCCCGGCUAACUACGUGCCAGCAGCCGCGGUAAUACGUAGGGGGCAAGCGUUAUCCGGAUUUACUGGGUGUAAAGGGAGCGUAGACGGUAAUGCAAGUCAGAAGUGAAAGCCCAGGGCUCAACCGUGGGACUGCUUUUGAAACUGUAAUACUAGAGUGCAGGAGGGGUAAGUGGAAUUCCUAGUGUAGCGGUGAAAUGCGUAGAUAUUAGGAGGAACACCAGUGGCGAAGGCGGCUUACUGGACUGUAACUGACGUUGAGGCUCGAAAGCGUGGGGAGCAAACAGGAUUAGAUACCCUGGUA